UACGAAGGGGGCGAGCGUUGUUCGGAAUUAUUGGGCGUAAAGGGUGCGUAGGCGGCCUGACAAGUCUGAUGUGAAAUCCCUGGGCUCAACCCAGGGCCUGCAUCGGAAACUGUCGGGCUUGAGUAUGGGAGAGGUGAGUGGAAUUUCCGGUGUAGCGGUGAAAUGCGUAGAUAUCGGAAGGAACACCUGUGGCGAAAGCGGCUCACUGGACCAUUACUGACGCUGAGGCACGAAAGCUAGGGGAGCAAACAGG
This 253-nucleotide ribosomal RNA is filed under the name uncultured bacterium. RNAcentral describes it as "partial 16S ribosomal RNA". It matches the Rfam family "Bacterial small subunit ribosomal RNA", at positions 524 to 776 of the family's 1533-position model. The record is from RNAcentral.